Molecule: long non-coding RNA, 1438 nt
Filed under: Vigna radiata
Lineage: Eukaryota; Viridiplantae; Streptophyta; Magnoliopsida; Fabales; Fabaceae
Description: long non-coding RNA (VRAD_LNC001616)
Source: RNAcentral
AUACUAAAGUACUUCGAAAUACAAGAACUGAAAUUGUUCAUAUGCAUGGGAAAACUAUGGAAUUCCUAGAAAGACUAAGAAGCUGCUUCCUCACUCCCCUCCAAGACAUUCUCCACUGAGGCCUCAUUCUCCUCUGCUCACAUCCAAGUGGAUGAUCAUCGCAAAAGAAAGAGCAGGCAACAAACACAAACACAAACAAACAAGGGUGAGCUAAUUAUAUAAACAAAUACAUAUAACAGAUUAAGCAUGUGAUCAUAUAAGAGUGAAUUGAAAACAAAACAGUUAGGAAACACAACCUAAGCAUAUUAUUUUCUAGACUUGACUCGUCCGGACUUUAAAAUGAUAGUCGGGUGAUGGGUGUCGCCGCCCAAUCAAAUUUGAUGUGCAGUUUAAAGUGCAGUAUAACUAGGGAAUGACCCCUAGGUCGUCUCCCAAGGACCAAAUUUGUGGUUCAGCGUCAAGUCUAACACGAAAAAGGGGAGGGGUUUUGAAAAGGUUUUGCAAAAAUUAAAAGACUCAAUAAAGACAUAAAGGCAAGCAACACAUUCAAACAAAACAAAAUAAAAUUCUAGNCGCUAACACCAUAACACACAACUAUCUAACUCUAUCAAAUUAAUUUAAAUNCAAAACUAAAUUAAAGAUUCAACUUACUAUUUAAACCAAAUUAAACAAAAGAAAUAACAACAUUAUUUUUCCUAUCACUCACGUGACCAAAUGGUAUUCACCCAAGAAAACUUGAAAUUGUAAUACCAUUGAAAUAACACUCAUUGCCGUGACCCAUUUGUUGACUGAAACCGUGCACCAGCAGCAUGACCGUGGCUUCCUAAAAUGUUUUAAUUGCAAGGCUUUACUCCAAUAUAAGCUCCCAAUAAAUCAAGCUCUGGACCCCACCAUCACCAUCAAUUGCAAAAGCCGUGGUCUGUACACUUCUUGAAGAAAGCAAAUUCAUUCUGCAAUGUCCCAUCAUCAGACCCCACAACCAAGAAACCGCGUGCAUCCUUCCUUCUAGCCGUGACACAUACCACGCCCUAUAUCCAAUUCAAUUACUUCUCCACGUGAAGCAUCUUAAAUGCAAUUGAGCUUCAAUUGAAAUUUGGUUCAGCUUGUUCUUCCCAAGGAAAAAUACUCUCUUCAUUCAUGGACACAUCCCAAUGCUAACACAUCAACAAACCUGCAGCCGCCACCUAAGACACCGGUGCCCACUCUUUCUUCAAUUAAAAAUUGUGUUACUUUUCAUCAUCAAAUUAAGGAAACCGUGCACCCCUGAUUCAGUCGUAAACUCCUCACCAAAUACUUGAUAAAUAAAAGGAAAACUGAAUGUGUUUAUUGAACUACAUUCCCGAGGCCAUGUGACACCAUAUGAACUACUCAUUCAAUGAAGCUCUUGAUAAUAAACAUUGUUAAACCCCCUUUGACCGAGAGAACAAUAACUCUGCAC